GUAGGGGGCGAGCGUUGUCCGGAUUUAUUGGGCGUAAAGAGCUCGUAGGCGGUUUGGCAAGUCGGGUGUGAAAACUCCGGGCUCAACUCGGAGACGCCACUCGAUACUGCUAUGACUCGAGUCCGGUAGGGGAGUGCGGAAUUCCUGGUGUAGCGGUGAAAUGCGCAGAUAUCAGGAGGAACACCGGUGGCGAAGGCGGCACUCUGGGCCGGUACUGACGCUGAGGAGCGAAAGCGUGGGGAGCGAACAGGAUUAGAUACCCUGGUAGUCCACGCCGUAAACGUUGGGCACUAGGUGUGGGGCUCGAUCGACGGGUUCCGUGCCGUAGCUAACGCAUUAAGUGCCCCGCCUGGGAAGUACGGCCGCAAGGCUAAA
Molecule: ribosomal RNA, 375 nt
Filed under: uncultured bacterium
Lineage: Bacteria
Description: bacterial SSU rRNA
Rfam family: Bacterial small subunit ribosomal RNA
Source: RNAcentral